This 445-nucleotide ribosomal RNA is filed under the name uncultured bacterium. RNAcentral's name for it is "bacterial SSU rRNA". It matches the Rfam family "Bacterial small subunit ribosomal RNA", at positions 330 to 792 of the family's 1533-position model. The record is from RNAcentral.
UCCAGACUCCUACGGGAGGCAGCAGUGGGGAAUAUUGCACAAUGGGGGAAACCCUGAUGCAGCGACGCCGCGUGAGUGAAGAAGUAUUUCGGUAUGUAAAGCUCUAUCAGCAGGGAAGAUAAUGACGGUACCUGACUAAGAAGCCCCGGCUAACUACGUGCCAGCAGCCGCGGUAAUACGUAGGGGGCAAGCGUUAUCCGGAUUUACUGGGUGUAAAGGGUGCGCAGGUGGCAGGGCAAGUCAGAUGUGAAAGCCCGGGGCUCAACCCCGGUAUUGCAUUUGAAACUGUCCGGCUAGAGUGCAGGAGAGGCAAGCGGAAUUCCUAGUGUAGCGGUGAAAUGCGUAGAUAUUAGGAGGAACACCAGUGGCGAAGGCGGCUUACUGGACUGUAACUGACACUGAGGCACGAAAGCGUGGGGAGCAAACAGGAUUAGAUACCCGAGUA